AAUCCAUAGGUUAAUGAGGCGAACCGGGGGAACUGAAACAUCUAAGUACCCCGAGGAAAAGAAAUCAACCGAGAUUCCCCCAGUAGCGGCGAGCGAACGGGGAGGAGCCCAGAGCCUGAAUCAGCAUGUGUGUUAGUGGAAGCGUCUGGAAAGGCGCGCGAUACAGGGUGACAGCCCCGUACACAAAAGCGCAUGUGCUGUGAGCUCGAUGAGUAGGGCGGGACACGUGGUAUCCUGUCUGAAUAUGGGGGGACCAUCCUCCAAGGCUAAAUACUCCUGACUGACCGAUAGUGAACCAGUACCGUGAGGGAAAGGCGAAAAGAACCCCGGCGAGGGGAGUGAAAAAGAACCUGAAACCGUGUACGUACAAGCAGUGGGAGCCCCACCACCAAAGCAUUUGCUGUACCGCGUUGACGGAGCGAAGCGACGUCAAACCGAUAAAACAGCAGUGUAAAGUGAGCCGCAGGGCGCUUUGCGCGACAGCGCAAAGGCAGGCGGUUUCGCGUAGCGAAAGCGAAUGCUUUGGGGUGGGGUGACUGCGUACCUUUUGUAUAAUGGGUCAGCGACUUAUAUUCUGUAGCAAGGUUAACCGAAUAGGGGAGCCGGAGGGAAACCGAGUCUUAAUUGGGCGUUAAGUUGCAGGGUAUAGACCCGAAACCCGGUGAUCUAGCCAUGGGCAGGUUGAAGGUUGGGUAACACUAACUGGAGGACCGAACCGACUAAUGUUGAAAAAUUAGCGGAUGACCUGUGGCUGGGGGUGAAAGGCCAAUCAAACCGGGAGAUAGCUGGUUCUCCCCGAAAGCUAUUUAGGUAGCGCCUCGUGAAUUCAUCUCCGGGGGUAGAGCACUGUUUCGGCUAGGGGGCCAUCCCGGCUUACCAACCCGAUGCAAACUGCGAAUACCGGAGAAUGUUAUCACGGGAGACACACGGCGGGUGCUAACGUCCGUCGUGAAGAGGGAAACAACCCAGACCGCCAGCUAAGGUCCCAAAGUCAUGGUUAAGUGGGAAACGAUGUGGGAAGGCCCAGACAGCCAGGAUGUUGGCUUAGAAGCAGCCAUCAUUUAAAGAAAGCGUAAUAGCUCACUGGUCGAGUCGGCCUGCGCGGAAGAUGUAACGGGGCUAAACCAUGCACCGAAGCUGCGGCAGCGACGCUUAUGCGUUGUUGGGUAGGGGAGCGUUCUGUAAGCCUGCGAAGGUGGCCUGUGAGGGUUGCUGGAGGUAUCAGAAGUGCGAAUGCUGACAUAAGUAACGAUAAAGCGGGUGAAAAGCCCGCUCGCCGGAAGACCAAGGGUUCCUGUCCAACGUUAAUCGGGGCAGGGUGAGUCGACCCCUAAGGCGAGGCCGAAAGGCGUAGUCGAUGGGAAACGGGUUAAUAUUCCCGUACUUGGUGUUACUGCGAAGGGGGGACGGAGAAGGCUAUGUUGGCCGGGCGACGGUUGUCCCGGUUUAAGCGUGUAGGUGUGUGUUCCAGGUAAAUCCGGUUCACUUUAACACUGAGGCGUGAUGACGAGGCACUACGGUGCUGAAG
RNAcentral lists this ribosomal RNA (1528 nucleotides) under Salmonella enterica subsp. enterica serovar Enteritidis. Its description in RNAcentral is "partial 23S ribosomal RNA". It matches the Rfam family "Bacterial large subunit ribosomal RNA", at positions 161 to 1590 of the family's 2925-position model. The record is from RNAcentral. Lineage: Bacteria; Pseudomonadati; Pseudomonadota; Gammaproteobacteria; Enterobacterales; Enterobacteriaceae.